AUCUAAAUAGUUUAUUAAAAUAUCAGUUUGUGGGACUGGAGAUAUAAGUGAUUAUUUUAGGUA
Molecule: transfer RNA, 63 nt
Filed under: Agrianome spinicollis
Lineage: Eukaryota; Metazoa; Arthropoda; Insecta; Coleoptera; Cerambycidae
Description: tRNA-His
Source: RNAcentral